This 245-nucleotide ribosomal RNA is filed under the name uncultured Gemmata sp. RNAcentral's name for it is "partial 16S ribosomal RNA". It matches the Rfam family "Bacterial small subunit ribosomal RNA", at positions 524 to 768 of the family's 1533-position model. Lineage: Bacteria; Pseudomonadati; Planctomycetota; Planctomycetia; Gemmatales; Gemmataceae. The record is from RNAcentral.
GACGAACCGUGCAAACGUUGUUCGGAAUCACUGGGCUUAGAGGGCGCGUAGGCGGGCGGCCAAGUCAGGGGUGAAAUCUUUCGGCUCAACCGGAAAAUUGCCUUUGAUACUGGCUGUCUAGAGCGAGGUAGGGGCAUGUGGAACUUCCGGUGGAGCGGUGAAAUGCGUUGAUAUCGGAAGGAACGCCGGUGGCGAAAGCGACGUGCUGGACCUCAACUGACGCUGAUGCGCGAAAGCUAGGGGAG